AUGCCAACCCUGCAGACAGCAGCUCUACCCACUACACCACAGUGCCGGCCCCAUCACACUAUUCUUGGCAUGGCUUUUCCCAGGGAUUACGUUGGUCCAGAGAGGGAGGAAGUAGACCACUGUCCUGAGCGGAGAGCGUGCAAUGCAUUCUCCAAAGUGGGAAGACUUCUAAAUGGAGCCGAGCAGACAAAGCCGUGGCGACAGUGUCAGCAGGGCAGAGGAACGCCGUAUUUCAGCCGUGCGCCAGACAGCACGCGACGGCCACACGCGCUCAUCUCCUUCGCAGUCUCAGCCAGUGCACGGUACCGCGAGAGAGGUCGUCGGUACUUCUCUGUUCUCCUCGUUUAUUCCACGUGGUGUCUUCUGAGCUGCCCUCGUGCACCUGGCCCAUCUCCGAUCGACACCCGGAAGAGCCAGCAGCUUCCUUGCCGCACCCCUUCCUCCCCAGCCCCCGUCUUCCCAGUGCAUUGCAGCAGAGAGCCCUACAGGGCGCGAUGACCACGGAGUGUCUCGUCACCGGCACCGCCACAGGUAACCAGCGUGGGGGAAGACACGUGGCGCAUCUCCUAGGAUACCCCUGCUAACCAGAACUGUUAAACAUGAAAGCGGAUUUGGGCUCCUGGGGAGAGGAUGAGAGUCUCCUGUUUAAUUAGAUGGAGCAAGAAAAAGGCUUUUUUUUUUUUUUUUCCCCAGCAUGUUUCCGAAGCUGGAGUUGGCCUUUGUCCAUCCACAACACUAAGCUGUGUCUAGGACGUGGGGAAAGUCUCGGUUCAGCCGUCACCGGCUCAGGUUCAAGUUGGAGGAUGCUGUGAGGUGCUGGGGACCGUGCAGCCCCCAGGUCGCCAAGGCAGGCAGUCCGGCCCUGUGGUUUGCGCCAGUGUCUGAUGCCAACGCGCCCAGCACCGCCGGUGUCAAGCUCCUGAGGUUGGGAUGGAAUGUGCAGAGCCUCACGCACGGAACCAGCUGUGGUGCAGCUUCCUGACUCUGUGAUGCAAAUAAAAACCUGAGCCCUUCAUUUUAAGGACA
RNAcentral lists this long non-coding RNA (1026 nucleotides) under Oryctolagus cuniculus (rabbit). RNAcentral describes it as "lncRNA (ENSOCUG00000039227.1)". Lineage: Eukaryota; Metazoa; Chordata; Mammalia; Lagomorpha; Leporidae. The record is from RNAcentral.